AUACGGAGGGCGCAAGCGUUAAUCGGAAUCGACUGGGCGUAAAGCGCACGUAGGCGGCGAGAUAAGUCGGGCGUGGAAAGCCCUCGGCCCAACCGAGGAAUUGCGUUCGAUACUGUUUGGCUUGAGUCCUGGAGAGGGUGGCGGAAUUCCGGGUGUAGGAGUGAAAUCCGUAGAUAUCCGGAGGAACACCGGUGGCGAAGGCGGCCACCUGGACAGGUACUGACGCUGAGGUGCGAAAGCGUGGGGAGC
RNAcentral lists this ribosomal RNA (249 nucleotides) under uncultured bacterium. RNAcentral describes it as "partial 16S ribosomal RNA". It matches the Rfam family "Bacterial small subunit ribosomal RNA", at positions 523 to 769 of the family's 1533-position model. The record is from RNAcentral.